RNAcentral lists this long non-coding RNA (394 nucleotides) under Anas platyrhynchos platyrhynchos (common mallard). RNAcentral describes it as "lncRNA (ENSAPLG00000018350.1)". Lineage: Eukaryota; Metazoa; Chordata; Aves; Anseriformes; Anatidae. The record is from RNAcentral.
UCAUAUUUAAAAUGUAAAUAAUAAGUCUACUGAUUUUUCCAUUUUGGUGUUUCCUUGUCUUUUCAUUUAGAUGUAAUCACUGUAACGACAGACUGAGGGCAAAAGAAAUUAAACCAGUUGGGUGAAUUAGCUCAGCAAGUGACGGUUCACAGGAGAGUCUUUAUCUACUCUUUCCACAGACUGUGUGUGCAUAAUUGCAGGUCUGGCUGUUCUUCCUAGCAGUAAGAAGCCACUGCACCAGAAAGGCUACCUACGUGUUGGAGUAUGGGACCUGAAAUGACUUCAAAGCUAAUAGCCAAACCAUGGACACCUGAUGUUUUCAUUGAGGGUUCAAAGAAAGACUCUGUCACCUGCCAAUUAUUUUCUUGGUUUCGGUCAUGAAAGGAUAAUGCAU